Pelobates cultripes (western spadefoot toad) is the source of this 72-nucleotide non-coding RNA. Lineage: Eukaryota; Metazoa; Chordata; Amphibia; Anura; Pelobatidae. The record is from the annotation of a GenBank genome assembly.
CGAUUGGACAGUCCUGGCACCAUAACCAUUACAGCAAUCUGUAGUGGUGAUGGUGCUUGGAUUGUUCCUGUA